GAUGAACGCUGGCGGCAUGCCUAAUACAUGCAAGUCGAACGAGAGGAAGGAGAGCUUGCUUUUCUGAAUCUAGUGGCGAACGGGUGAGUAACACGUAGGUAACCUGCCCAUGUGCCCGGGAUAACUUCUGGAAACGGAUGCUAAAACCGGAUAGGUAGCAGACAAGCAUUUGACUGCUAUUAAAGUGGCUAAGGCCAUGAACAUGGAUGGACCUGCGGUGCAUUAGCUAGUUGGUGAGGUAACGGCCCACCAAGGCGACGAUGCAUAGCCGGCCUGAGAGGGGGGACGGCCAAAUUGGGACUGAGAAACGGCCCAAAAUCCUACGGGAGGCAGCAGUAGGGAAUUUUCGUCAAUGGGGGGAACCCUGAACGAGCAAUGCCGCGUGAGUGAGGAAGGUCGUCGGAUCGUAAAGCUCUGUUGUAAGAGAAAAACGACAUUCAUAGGGAAUGAUGAGUGAGUGAUGGUAUCUUACCAGAAAGUCACGGCUAACUACGUGCCAGCCGCCGCAGUAA
This 512-nucleotide ribosomal RNA is filed under the name uncultured bacterium. Its description in RNAcentral is "partial 16S ribosomal RNA". It matches the Rfam family "Bacterial small subunit ribosomal RNA", at positions 28 to 523 of the family's 1533-position model. The record is from RNAcentral.